This 697-nucleotide ribosomal RNA is filed under the name Creaserinus crenastylus. RNAcentral's name for it is "partial 28S large subunit ribosomal RNA". The stretch from base 262 to 697 matches the Rfam family "Eukaryotic large subunit ribosomal RNA", at positions 665 to 886 of the family's 3401-position model. The record is from RNAcentral. Lineage: Eukaryota; Metazoa; Arthropoda; Malacostraca; Decapoda; Cambaridae.
CCCACGCCGGCGUCGGCGGGCGUAUUUCGCCUCACAGUAGGUCGCCGCGACCCGUUGCUUUUGGGGACGUCGAAGGCCCGGACGGAUUGGUACCCUACCGGCUGGGGAUGCGGCUUCGGCUUCUCCUCUUGUCCGGUGGGCGAAACCGCCGGUGUCCUGGCUGCCCUGCGACGGUCGUAGAGACGAGCCCUCCCCUUCGGGGGGGCGGCUCUCGCGGCGUGCAAAAGGUCGGUGAUCCACCCGACCCGUCUUGAAACACGGACCAAGGAGUCUAACAUGUGUGCGAGUCAGUGGGCGCACUAAACCCAGAGGCGUAAUGAAAGUGACACGGGUUCGGCUGUCGCCUCGUGUGGCAGCCGGACUCAGGGCCGAUCCCUCACCGGUUGCCCUCGCCUCUCUCCCGCGUCUCGGUAAGCCGGGUGAGCUAUUUUCCCCGGCCGCUGCUGCGGGGCUCGGGGGGAGGCGGGGUGCGAUGGUGUCCGUAAAAAAGAGCCUGCUGUUGCAGGGGGGCGCAGGCCCGGGACUUGCCAGGACGCCGCGAGACUGUCACUUUGCUGUGAGGCUCUCGGGCCGAUCAGCGGGUCAUGCGUGCAGUCGGCAAGUACCAUGAGCAGACAUGUUGGGACCCGAAAGAUGGUGAACUAUGCCUGGCCAGGAUGAAGCCAGAGGAAACUCUGGUGGAGGUCCGUAGCGAUUC